CAUCGAGCUAAUUCAGCCCAUUUUAGCCCAGUUGAAGCCAACGCGCUCCCCACCCGCCGCUUCGCCCCGGCGGAGGAGCGUCAGUGCCGCCGCGCCCAGAUCGCCUCCGCAGUUCCGCUCCCUCUCUUCGCUUGUCUCUCUGCCCCUCUGCCGCUAGUGGCGUUCUGUCUCGAUCCUAUCCUAUGGCGCGACCUCCCCCAGCCCUCUCCCCCAAAAUGUCGCCAUCUCUCGCUAGGGUUUCGCUGUGUCUGGUCACUGAAGGAAUAAAGCUGGCAGUUGCACUAUAGUUGCUGUACUGCCUGGCUCGUUGCAUUGACUGGUCAAAUUCCCAAUGAUUCUUCUGAGUUGUCCAGCAACUCUUUCCUGGAAGGACAGAUUCAUUCUACUAUGAUCUGUAGUAUAGGGGUGCAUUUUGCAAACAUAUUUGGUGCCAUAUAGUCCAAUGCAUAUACUCUUAUUCCUUACAGAGCUAAAUGUUGUGGCUGAUACAUGGGAGUGUUUUGCCCAUAAUACACAGUCAUCAAGUAAAACUUGUUGCAAACUGUGUUAGCCUACAUGUAUUGAUACAUUCCCGAGAGUUUGUUGGGAGCUGAAAGGGCAUACAUGAUUCAGAUAUGCUAAUUGGUCAAGCUUAAUACAUUGGGAAUCUCAAAUUUGCAGAA
Long non-coding RNA from Triticum aestivum (bread wheat), 662 nucleotides. RefSeq lists it as uncharacterized. The record is from RefSeq and is a predicted model, not a curated record. The transcript is spliced from 2 exons. Lineage: Eukaryota; Viridiplantae; Streptophyta; Magnoliopsida; Poales; Poaceae.